GAUGAACGCUGGCGGCGUGCCUAAUACAUGCAAGUCGAGCGAACAGACGAGGAGCUUGCUCCUCUGACGUUAGCGGCGGACGGGUGAGUAACACGUGGAUAACCUACCUAUAAGACUGGGAUAACUUCGGGAAACCGGAGCUAAUACCGGAUAAUAUAUUGAACCGCAUGGUUCAAUAGUGAAAUACGGUUUUGCUGUCACUUAUAGAUGGAUCCGCGCCGCAUUAGCUAGUUGGUAAGGUAACGGCUUACCAAGGCAACGAUGCGUAGCCGACCUGAGAGGGUGAUCGGCCACACUGGAACUGAGACACGGUCCAGACUCCUACGGGAGGCAGCAGUAGGGAAUCUUCCGCAAUGGGCGAAAGCCUGACGGAGCAACGCCGCGUGAGUGAUGAAGGUCUUCGGAUCGUAAAACUCUGUUAUUAGGGAAGAACAAAUGUGUAAGUAACUAUGCACGUAUUGACGGUACCUAAUCAGAAAGCCACGGCUAACUACGUG
This 497-nucleotide ribosomal RNA is filed under the name uncultured bacterium. RNAcentral describes it as "partial 16S ribosomal RNA". It matches the Rfam family "Bacterial small subunit ribosomal RNA", at positions 28 to 507 of the family's 1533-position model. The record is from RNAcentral.